ACAGGUGCUGCGAUGGCGUGUCGUCAGCUCGUGUCGUGAGAUGUUGGGUUAAGUCCCGCAACGAGCGCAACCCUUAUCAUUAGUUGCUACGCAAGGGCACUCUAAUGAGACUGCCGGUGACAAACCGGAGGAAGGUGGGGAUGACGUCAAGUCCUCAUGGCCCUUAUGGGUAGGGCUUCACACGUCAUACAAUGGUCGGUACAGAGGGUUGCCAAGCCGCGAGGCGGAGCCAAUCCCACAAAGCCGAUCGUAGUCCGGAUUGUUCUCUGCAACUCGAGAGCAUGAAGUCGGAAUCGCUAGUAAUCGCAGGUCAGCAUACUGCGGUGAAUACGUUCCCGGGUCUU
RNAcentral lists this ribosomal RNA (344 nucleotides) under uncultured Thiobacillus sp. RNAcentral describes it as "bacterial SSU rRNA". It matches the Rfam family "Bacterial small subunit ribosomal RNA", at positions 1034 to 1382 of the family's 1533-position model. Lineage: Bacteria; Pseudomonadati; Pseudomonadota; Betaproteobacteria; Nitrosomonadales; Thiobacillaceae. The record is from RNAcentral.